AAACAAAUGUGGCUGACUUUAGCAAACCAAUGAUACCAAGUAUCCAGAGAAGUUUAAGUAUCUAUGAUUUUCUUACCAUCCAUUCUUAAAUACUGGAAGAAUAUUAGUUUAAUUAAGAAAAAGAAAGUAAAACAAUAAAAUGAAAGAAACUUCAGCCUCUGCCCCAUAAUAUAUAAUUUGAUUUUCAAGAGUAAGCAAGUUUUUGAAUUUAUAAAUAGGUCAAAUAUUUUCUACUAUAAGUCUGGCUUUCCUUACAGAAUAUAGGUAAAGUUUAUGGAUUUAGAAGUUGAGAAAACUUCAUAUAAUGUUCUGCAAGCCAUUUAAGAAAAAGAGGGUCAUGAAGUUUUCAUGGUUCCUUUAAAACAAUGUACAUAUCGCCCAAAGUCUACUCCUCUGGCCACACAUUUUAAGUCGACCAUUGAAGUUGCAAAUUGCAGAUAUAGAUGAUUUAUAAUUAAGGUAAUCCCAAAAGACUAGAAAUAUGUGUACCCAUUACAUCAUAACAAGUCCAGAACCCUUUUUAUCUAUCAUAUAAAUGUUGGUUGAUGAGUGAAAACUAACAAGCCAGUAGUUUACAAUAUGCCUCCAGGAGAGCCCUAGAAAUGUGACUGUGCAGCAUUCUUGCAGGUUUCUUCCACCUAUUAUUCUCUAAUUUAAAGAUGACACUAUUGGACUUUUCCCUGAAGACCUUAAAAGAACGUACUACAGGGAUACUGCUACAUCGAUGUUCAUAGCAGCACAAUUCACAAUUGCUAGACUGUGGAACCAACCCAGAUGCCCUUCAAUAGAUGAAUGGAUAAAAAAAAUGUGGCAUUUAUACACCAUGGAGUAUUACGCAGCACUAAAAAAUGACAAAAUCAUAGAAUUUGCAGGGAAAUGGAUGGCACUAGAGCAGAUUAUGCUUAGUGAAGC
This 912-nucleotide long non-coding RNA is filed under the name Marmota monax (woodchuck). The record is from RNAcentral. Lineage: Eukaryota; Metazoa; Chordata; Mammalia; Rodentia; Sciuridae.